AUUGAACGCUGGCGGCAGGCCUAACACAUGCAAGUCGAGCGGAUGAAGGGAGCUUGCUCCUGGAUUCAGCGGCGGACGGGUGAGUAAUGCCUAGGAAUCUGCCUGGUAGUGGGGGAUAACGUCCGGAAACGGGCGCUAAUACCGCAUACGUCCUGAGGGAGAAAGUGGGGGAUCUUCGGACCUCACGCUAUCAGAUGAGCCUAGGUCGGAUUAGCUAGUUGGUGGGGUAAAGGCCUACCAAGGCGACGAUCCGUAACUGGUCUGAGAGGAUGAUCAGUCACACUGGAACUGAGACACGGUCCAGACUCCUACAGGAGGCAGCAGUGGGGAAUAUUGGACAAUGGGCGAAAGCCUGAUCCAGCCAUGCCGCGUGUGUGAAGAAGAUCUUCGGAUUGUAAAGCACUUUAAGUUGGGAGGAAGGGCAGUAAGUUAAUACCUUGCUGUUUUGACGUUACCAACAGAAUAAGCACCGGCUAACUUCGUG
This 484-nucleotide ribosomal RNA is filed under the name uncultured bacterium. RNAcentral describes it as "partial 16S ribosomal RNA". It matches the Rfam family "Bacterial small subunit ribosomal RNA", at positions 30 to 507 of the family's 1533-position model. The record is from RNAcentral.